AGCAGCGUGGCUUAGUGGAUAGAGCCUGGGCCUGGGAGUCUGGGACCUGGGUUCUAAUCCCGGCCCUGCCA
Molecule: transfer RNA, 71 nt
Filed under: Ornithorhynchus anatinus (platypus)
Lineage: Eukaryota; Metazoa; Chordata; Mammalia; Monotremata; Ornithorhynchidae
Rfam family: tRNA
About the family: Transfer RNA (tRNA) molecules are approximately 80 nucleotides in length. Their secondary structure includes four short double-helical elements and three loops (D, anti-codon, and T loops). Further hydrogen bonds mediate the characteristic L-shaped molecular structure. tRNAs have two regions of fundamental functional importance: the anti-codon, which is responsible for specific mRNA codon recognition, and the 3' end, to which the tRNAs corresponding amino acid is attached (by aminoacyl-tRNA synthetases). tRNAs cope with the degeneracy of the genetic code in two manners: having more than one tRNA (with a specific anti-codon) for a particular amino acid; and 'wobble' base-pairing, i.e. permitting non-standard base-pairing at the 3rd anti-codon position.
Source: Rfam by way of RNAcentral